GGAAAAGAAACCAACAGGGAUUGCCUUAGUAACGGCGAGUGAAGCGGCAAAAGCUCAAAUUUGAAAUCUGGCACCUUCGGUGUCCGAGUUGUAAUUUGAAGAAGGUAACUUUGGAGUUGGCUCUUGUCUAUGUUCCUUGGAACAGGACGUCACAGAGGGUGAGAAUCCCGUGCGAUGAGAUGCCCAAUUCUAUGUAAAGUGCUUUCGAAGAGUCGAGUUGUUUGGGAAUGCAGCUCUAAGUGGGUGGUAAAUUCCAUCUAAAGCUAAAUAUUGGCGAGAGACCGAUAGCGAACAAGUACAGUGAUGGAAAGAUGAAAAGAACUUUGAAAAGAGAGUGAAAAAGUACGUGAAAUUGUUGAAAGGGAAGGGCUUGAGAUCAGACUUGGUAUUUUGCGAUCCUUUCCUUCUUGGUUGGGUUCCUCGCAGCUUACUGGGCCAGCAUCGGUUUGGAUGGUAGGAUAAUGACUAAGGAAUGUGGCUCUACUUCGGUGGAGUGUUAUAGCCUUGGUUGAUACUGCCUGUCUAGACCGAGGACUGCGUCUUUGA
Molecule: ribosomal RNA, 546 nt
Filed under: Debaryomyces hansenii
Lineage: Eukaryota; Fungi; Ascomycota; Pichiomycetes; Serinales; Debaryomycetaceae
Description: partial large subunit ribosomal RNA
Rfam family: Eukaryotic large subunit ribosomal RNA
Source: RNAcentral